Long non-coding RNA from Acinonyx jubatus (cheetah), 5195 nucleotides. RefSeq lists it as uncharacterized. The record is from RefSeq and is a predicted model, not a curated record. NCBI's taxonomy places the organism in Eukaryota, Metazoa, Chordata, Mammalia, Carnivora, Felidae. The transcript has 5 exons.
ACGGAACUUACUUCCACGCCUAUUGGUUGCCGUAAGUAGCUACAAACCAAUCGGCUUCCGCGCACUCGGACGGUCGCUCUGAUUGGUUCUUUCGGACGGAUUUAAAAAUCAAGUCCUCACCACCCGACCUGCCGGCUCCGGAGUUACAGUGUUUUUUUGUUGUUGUGGGGAGGCGGAGCCCACGUGCUCUUGCAGAGUCUGAAGGCCUUUUGGAACCGCUAUUUCCGCAAGAAAGUAGGAACCGGCCGGGCUGAUUAGGAGAGUGUGGUCUAUCACCUACAGCCGGCGGAAUUGUGUGGGCUGGCGAACAUUCUUAAUGCUGCGCACUAGGAGAAUUCACUUCUGAGGUCUUCGAACCAGAAAACAAGAACACUUGACUGUUUAAAAAAACACAGGUGCCUGUGCCUUGUGAUAACCAGGAGAUACAGCCCAGGGCGGGGGAGUACGUGUCCGACCAAAGCAGCCUCCUACCCGGCACCACCACUACUGGCCGAGAGGCACUGGGCAAACUAGUCUCUUCACCCAUAUCCACCUACUAGGGUGGUUACGAGAACGAAGUGAGAUCAUCCGUGUAAAGCUCUCAGCGACAUGCCAUGCGGUAUUCAAAGGACGGCUGCUUCCUGUUCUGCCUUGGUUGUCACCUAAUCAUCUGCGAUUUCUACCGGAACAAUGAAGGUGAUGUUUCCACCUCAAAGUAAGCUUAUAAGGACUUCUGGAAGGAGAAGAGUCAGCAGCCCAUAAGAUGGUAACCGAGCUUUCUUACAUUGCACACUGUUCCAGAGGUUUGGUGCAGCUAUCAACGUUAACAGACAGGACGGUGUCAAGAAGAGAGCCAUAUCUGGACUGGCCCCUUGAUUCUGAACACCAUAAUUAUGAGAAGAAAUGACUCGACAGUCCCAGAAGGCGUGACUUCGUGCCAGUCCAAAGCAACCUCUUGUGUGCCGGAGGAACCAUGGACCUGACUUGCCACUUCUGACUCCACGCAGGUGAGAACAUCAACUCAUGGGCGUCUCGGGGACUAAUGAAAUAAGCAGUAGCAAGGUAUUAAAGUUCUUCGAAAGGAUUUGCUGUCUGAUCUUAUAGCAGCAGCAUCCAUUUCCUCUUUUGCUGGGAACACUCAGAUAAACGUGGGAAAGGAAGGACUUGAAAUAACUGGAGACGUAAACUCUGAAUAUGUGUCUUCUCGGUAGCACAAUUUAUUAUUGGCCAAGUAGGGCUGUCCCCUGGGGAACCACUGUAAGGGGGGAGUUUAGAACACACUCUAUCCUGCCGAUGUUUUUAUUUCCCCUGUUUUUACCGUCCCAUCUAAUUUCGGCCACCUGACUCACAGUGGUACUUAAAAAACCCUGCAGCAACAUAAUAGAAUAAAAUGAACGUGAACUUCAGAAGUAGAGAUGAGGAGGCCUGAAUCUUGGUUCUACCAUUCACUUAGGUACUCGAUGUUUUAGUACAUGUCUAAGUACAAGGUACUUAAUGUCUUGAGGUCUCAGUUUAUUUCUCUGGGAGACAAGAAGAAACACCAACCUGAAUGUGUUAGUCUGCCCAGGCUGCCAUAACAAAAUACUACGGACUGUGUGGCUUAAACAACAGAAAUUGAAUUUCUCACAGUGCUGGAGGCUGGAAGUCCAAGGUUAAGGUGCUGUCAGGGUUAAUUUCUGGCGAGGCCUCUCUCCUUCUUUCUUGCUAUGUCCUCAUGUGGCCUUUCCUCUGUGCAUGCACAGAAAGAAGGGCUCUGGUAUCUCUUCCUACUGUUAGAAGCAUACCAGUCCUACUGGAUAAGGGUCUCACCCUUAUGACCACAUUUAACCUUUAAAAAAAAUGUUUUUUAAUGUUUAUUUUUGAGAGAGAGAGAGAGAGAGAGAGAGAGAGAGAGAGAGAGAGAUCCGAAGAGGCUCCAGGCUCUGAGCUGUCAGCACAGAGCCUGACAUGGGGCUCAAACCCAUAACCAUAUCAUGACCUGAGCCGAAGUCGGACGCUCAGCUGACUUAACCUUAAUUAUCUCCACAAAGGCCUGAUUUUCAAAUACAAUCAUAUUGGGGGUUAGGACUUCAACAUAUGAAUUUUGGAGGAACACAGUUCAGUUCAUGACACUCAAACACUGUCACAAGGAUUAUUUCAGAUUAUAUAUACACAGGACCUAGCCUUGUUCCUACAGCAUAGUCAGUGCUCAGUGGAUAUUGAUUCCCUUACCUUCCACCCUGUGUCACUUACCUCCCUAGUGGGUCGCUUUCUUCUCUACACAUGAGAAGCUGGAUUUGGCCCUUUGCAUAGAUGGAAUAGAUAGUUACAGAGUGAACAGAGGGAUUCCCAAGACUUGAGUUUGGUAAAAAAUUUCUCCCUUCCCUCAUUGGUGUGGUUUCCAGUUGUAGGCCUCCUUUUCCCAGCUACUGUCUCCAUUCUGGGAACUGUCCUUUCCACAUGAAGGGCUGGGUCCAGCCACAGCAGCCUGUUCCUUCUCCAACACCCUGGUUUGACAUCUCAAGCCACGUUCUUUCUCCUGAGAAUUUGGAUAUGAGAUUCAGUCCCUGCUGAAGGACAGAAGCCAGCCUGCAGAUACAGAAUGAGGUUGAUGAUAAUGUUGAUAGGUACCAUAAUUGAGAGCUCAGUGUGUGUCAGGUACCGUUCUAAGAGUUGUUCACAUGUUGACUAAUUUAAUCAUCACCACAACUCUACGAAGUAGAUAUGUUCAUCAUUUCCCCCUUUUUACAUCACUUCCCUUUUUGAGGAAAUUCAGGUGUGAGAGUAUUUGCCCAGGGUCACAUAGCUAUUAAGUCUGGACACAGGCAAGAGUAGAGGAUCUUACCUCCAGACAGAAAAGCAGAGUAUCCUCACGGUUCUUUGGUCUUGCCCUUCUUUCUCACGGAUUCCAUGACAUGUUUCGGUAUCUUGCCAAUGAAUUCCUUUUUUGCUUUAACAGUCUGAAGUGGGGUUUUGUUCUUAAACCAAGGGAACUUGUGUUAAGAUGGUGGCCCUGGCCUAUUAGAUCUGUUGCACUCAACAUUAGAGGAUGUUUUUGAGAUUAACAACCAUAGAUAAGUGACUAUGGAAAACGGUUUGUUAAUGAUUCAAUUCCAUUACAAAGUUUAAAAUUGGUUAAAUCACAAUGAAGAAGGUCUCCUAGAAGAGAUUACGGGAGCAGUAAAAGCCUCCUUUUCCCGAAAACACAUGAUUUUAAGCAGUAACGAUGGGGUAAGCUCAUCACUAGCAGUGUGCCCUACAAAGGACGUGGUGAUUUGAUGUGUGUGUGCAUAUGCCAGUGUGUUGGGAGAGAAGUUGUGUGUUUUCUAUCAAGCCUGGAAAAGCUGGAAGGCAAUGUUGGGGCUGAGGGAAGUGAGGAAAGGUGAGCCAGGUGAAUACGAUUGGAGAGCUUAUGCCUUUAAGGUAUGAUUCAAAGGGUGUUUGCAACCCAAGGUGAAAUUAGUACAGAAGGAUAAUGAAUACAUUGAAAUUGGUGAGAUACUUAAUACUGCCUAGGUUUUAUUUCCUUUAAAUCUUGCUGAAAGUACCAGUUAUGCAGGUGCAUUACUCUUUCUAGAGUGUUCUUGAUUAAUACAUACUGCUAGUGCAUAGACUUUUUAAAGAGUAACCAACUGGCUGAAUCAUGUACAUUUUCAUUGGAAAAACUAGUGAUGUGCCUAGAGUGAGUCUGCCUGAUGUCCAGAUAGCUAGCUGAUAUCAUUGCCCAGUGGUCAACUGUAGCUGCCGGAAGAGCUGGCAAAGCGUCUCAGGACACUGAUUCGCCUUUCUCCUCCCAGCCUGAAAAAAGUACAACCUCAAAAUGUUUGUGUUUGACAUUCUUUCCAGAAGGAAGUAACAAGGAAAUAAUUCACUUGUGGCUUAGGUUGACUGGCAUGGAAAUGGAGGCUCUUUCUCCUUUGGCUCAGGUCAGGGAGUAGUCAGUCCCUGUGGGAGGCAGAGCGCCUUCUGCUGAAGAAUGGGUAAAGGAAAGAGAAAUGAAAUGGAGAGGAAAUGGCCAGAGAGGAGGAUGCGUCAGGAGCGGGAGAGUUGAAACAUUACGACACAUGACGAAAUGGAGACACUGUGUGACAUGAAAGGAUGCAGGUAAUGCCAAACCUCCAAACUACAGAGCAAACCCAAAUAAACAGUGUACUCUCUCAUCUAAUCUGUGCCUCCGUAAGUCUCUCAUCAUUUUCCCAAUAUUUGAGAAGAAUGUGACUUCCUGGCUUAGUCAACCUUGGGAAAGGCUGGGAUGGGGGCCCUUCUCUUACUCAAACGAAAAGCCUCAAAGAUGCAACCAGGAGGGAAGAAGGGCUCAGUCUUCUGCAUCAGAAAUGAUUCUUCCAAAGCAGGUACCAUGAAACUAUCUCUAAAGGGAGAAUACAUAGUGCCCUGGUCACCACAUUGCACAACUCCAGAGAAUGCCAUUCACACUCCAGACUAUUUUAGCUCAUGGAGUGGCAUUGGGUACUAUACUCGUGGCUGUACACAACAACUCUGCAGAAUCAUGUAGCUUUAAAAAAAAAUCACCAGAUAACAAGAAGUUCAUAUUGUAGUCAAUUAGCUAAUUUGUUUUCAUUAAUAAGGAGCUCCGAAUGCACACAACGAUUAAAGCACUCUUAAAUUUCAUCCUUCCAAAGUGUUCUCUUUCUUCCCUUCUCAUGCUUAACAUGUUUUUGUGUUAAUAAUCUAGACUUAUUUUGUUAUAUUUGUGCUGUUAAGUCAGUGGUUCUGAAUUAAAGGGGGGUGGUAUAACAGAAUUACUUUGGAAAUGUUUUCAAAAACAUCAACAGGAGAAUGGAUAAGCAAAGUGAUAUGUACACACACAUAUACACACACACACAGUGUAAUUCCAGUCAUAUGAAGUUUGAGAACUAGCAAAACUACCCUAUAGUGACAGAAGUUAGCCUGGAGAGGUGAUACAGACUGAGAGGUCACACAAGGGAAAUUUUUGUGGUGAUGGACAUUUUCUGUAUCUUGGUCUGGACGGUGGUCCCAUGGAUGCAUCCAUAUAAAAAAAAACCGUCAAACUGUACAUGCAAUGAAGGUCGUGCUUUUUAUUGAAUGUGAAAAUGUUCUCAAUAAAAUACUGUCUAAAAAUAUGAGUUACACACAUACACCGACCCAAGCCUCCACCCUGAACUCAGGGACUAAGAUGAAUGAAAUAGGGGGAGCAGGGGAUACAGACCAGCAUUAUGUAUUUUUAAAAAGCUCCCCAUUGUUAUUUCCCACCAUUA